UACGAGGGGGGCAAGCGUUGUUCGGAAUUAUUGGGCGUAAAGGGCGCGUAGGCGGUGCGGUAAGUCUGUUGUGAAAUCUCCGGGCUCAACUCGGAGUCUGCAUCAGAAACUGCCGUGCUCGAGUGUGGGAGAGGUGAGUGGAAUUCCCGGUGUAGCGGUGAAAUGCGUAGAUAUCGGGAAGAACACCCGUGGCGAAGGCGGCUCUCUGGAACGCAACUGACGCUGAGACGCGAAAGCGUGGGGUGCAAACAGG
RNAcentral lists this ribosomal RNA (253 nucleotides) under uncultured bacterium. RNAcentral describes it as "partial 16S ribosomal RNA". It matches the Rfam family "Bacterial small subunit ribosomal RNA", at positions 524 to 776 of the family's 1533-position model. The record is from RNAcentral.